GUGAACGCUGGCGGUAGGCCUAACACAUGCAAGUCGAACGGCAGCACAGUAAGAGCUUGCUCUUACGGGUGGCGAGUGGCGGACGGGUGAGGAAUACAUCGGAAUCUACUUUUUCGUGGGGGAUAACGUAGGUAAACUUACGCUAAUACCGCAUACGACUUAGGGGGUAAAGCGGGGGAUCUUGGGACCUUGCUCGUUCGAUGGGGCCGAUGCCGGAUUAGUUAGUUGGCGGGGUAGGGGCCCACCAAGGCGACGAUCCGUAGCUGGUCGGAGAGGAUGAUCAGCCACACUGGAACUGAGGCACGGUCCAGACUCCUACGGGAGGCAGCAGUGGGGAAUAUUGGACAAUGGGCGCAAGCCUGAUCCAGCCAUACCGCGUGGGUGAAGAAGGCCUUCGGGUUGUAGAGCCCUUUUGUUGGGAAAGAAAAGCAGCAGGUUAAUACCCCGCUGUUCUGACGGUACCCAAAGAAUAAGCACCGGCUAACUUCGUG
This 491-nucleotide ribosomal RNA is filed under the name uncultured bacterium. RNAcentral's name for it is "partial 16S ribosomal RNA". It matches the Rfam family "Bacterial small subunit ribosomal RNA", at positions 29 to 507 of the family's 1533-position model. The record is from RNAcentral.